Diceros bicornis minor is the source of this 338-nucleotide long non-coding RNA. RefSeq lists it as uncharacterized. The record is from RefSeq and is a predicted model, not a curated record. Lineage: Eukaryota; Metazoa; Chordata; Mammalia; Perissodactyla; Rhinocerotidae. The transcript has 3 exons.
CUUAAAUUAAAUUAAACAAGGACUGGUACAGUAAGGGGACGAGUGGUAUCCAUUUAGUGCUUUACAAUUUACGAAUCGCGUUCUGUCGCUUCAGAUGUCCUGUGAGGCUCACACGUCAGCCGGGGCAAAGAUGCUGACAGAAAGGCCUAAUGGAAGGAAGAUGUUUGCUUCUAAUUUAGAAUGAGAACCACCACACCCCACAGAUCAAAACCCAUGGAAACUUCCAGUGCCCUGCAGCAACAUAUACAGCAGAAUUUCUGAGUGUGACAAUAAUCUUCUAGAAGCAGAUUUCAACUUGGUAUCAGAAAAUUUCUCACAGAACUCAAUCAAAUCGGAAG